GUCUAGUCAAGGCUAUGGUUUUUCCAGUGGUCAUGUGUGGAUGUGAGAGUUGGACUGUGAAGAAAGCUGAACGCCGAAGAAUUGAUGCUUUUGAACUGUGGUGUUGGAGAAGACUCUUGAGAGUCCCUUGGACUGCAAGAAGAUCCAACCAGUCCAUUCUAAAGGAGAUCAGCCCUGGGUGUUCAUUGGAAGGAAUGAUGCUAAAGCUGAAACUCCAGUACUUUGGCCACCUCAUGUGAAGAGUUGACUCAUUGGAAAAGACUCUGAUGCUGGGAGGGAUUGGGGGCAGGAGGAGAAGGAGAUGACAGAGGAUGAGAUGGCUGGAUGGCAUCACUGACUCAAUGGACGUGAGUCUCAGUGAACUCUGGGAGAUGGUGAUGGACAGGGAGACCUGGCAUGCUGCGAUUCAUGGGAUCGCAAAGAGUCAGACACAACUGAAUGACUGAACUGAACUGAACUGGACUGAAUGCUCUUCAUGGUGACUUUGUGAGGCAGGCAUUUUGAUAUCAUCAUUCUCAGAAGAGGAACUGGAAAGAAAUGACUUCCUUACAGUCAGUCCCACAGUUGCUAUAUGAGGGAAUACCAUGGGGAGCAUCGUUUUCUGUUUGCAUUACUGUUGGAUCCCAAGUGUCAUGGACCGUGCCCGAUAUAUAGCAGAUACUCAAUAACAGUUUUGUCGAACACUUAAAUGAUAA
Molecule: long non-coding RNA, 695 nt
Organism: Bos taurus (domestic cattle)
Lineage: Eukaryota; Metazoa; Chordata; Mammalia; Artiodactyla; Bovidae
Source: Ensembl